GAUGAACGCUGGCGGCGUGCUUAACACAUGCAAGUCGAACGGAAAGGCCCAGGCUUUGUGGGGUGCUCGAGUGGCGAACGGGUGAGUAACACGUGAGUAAUCUGCCCUUGACUUUGGGAUAACUUCGGGAAACUGGGGCUAAUACCGGAUAGGAGCUUCUGCUGCAUGGUGGUGGGGGGAGAGUUUUGGGGGUUGGGGUAGGUCUCGCGGCUUAUCAGCUUGUUGGUGGGGUAGGGGCUUACAAAGGCCUUGGCGGUUCGCGGGCCUGAGGGGGUUACGGGCCCAAUGGGGACGGGAUUACGGCCAGACUCCCACCGGGGGGAGGAGGGGGGGAAAAUGGCCCAUUGGGGCGAGGCCUAUGGCAGCAAGGCCGCGGGCGGAAUGACGGCCUUCGGUUUUAAAACCGCUUUCGUAUGUGACGAGGGGUAAGUGACGGUAAUUGGAGAAGAAGCACCGGCUAACUACGUG
This 468-nucleotide ribosomal RNA is filed under the name uncultured bacterium. Its description in RNAcentral is "partial 16S ribosomal RNA". It matches the Rfam family "Bacterial small subunit ribosomal RNA", at positions 28 to 507 of the family's 1533-position model. The record is from RNAcentral.